Molecule: transfer RNA, 65 nt
Filed under: Ictidomys tridecemlineatus (thirteen-lined ground squirrel)
Lineage: Eukaryota; Metazoa; Chordata; Mammalia; Rodentia; Sciuridae
Description: Spermophilus tridecemlineatus (thirteen-lined ground squirrel) tRNA
Rfam family: tRNA
About the family: Transfer RNA (tRNA) molecules are approximately 80 nucleotides in length.
Source: Rfam by way of RNAcentral
GAUGUAGCUCAGUUGGUAGAGUGCUUGCCUCACAUGCACAAGGCCCUGGGUUCAAUCCCAGCGUC